UAAUGUAUCGGAAAUCUACCUAGUAGUACGGAAUAAUUGUUGGAAACGGCAACUAAUACCGUAUACGCCCUACGGGGGAAAAAUUUAUUGCUAUUAGAUGAGCCUAUAUUAGAUUAGUUAGUUGGUGAGGUAAAGGCUUACCAAGACAAUGAUCUAUAGCUGAUCUGAGAGGAUGAUCAGCCACACUGGAACUGAGAUACGGUCCAGACUCCUACGGGAGGCAGCAGUGGGGAAUAUUGGACAAUGGGCGAAAGCCUGAUCCAGCCAUGCCGCAUGAGUGAAGAAGGCCUUUGGGUUGUAAAGCUCUUUUAGUGAGGAAGAUAAUGACGGUACUCACAGAAGAAGUCCUGGCUAACUCCGUGCCAGCAGCCGCGGUAAUACGGAGAGGGCUAGCGUUAUUCGGAAUUAUUGGGCGUAAAGGACGCGUAGGCUGAUUAAUAAGUUAAAAGUGAAAUCCCGAGGCUUAACCUCGGAAUUGCUUUUAAAACUAUUAAUCUAGAGAUUGAAAGAGGAUAGAGGAAUUCCUGAUGUAGAGGUGAAAUUCGUAAAUAUUAGGAGGAACACCAGUGGCGAAGGCGUCUAUCUGGUUCAAAUCUGACGCUGAGGCGUGAAGGCGUGGGGAGCAAACAGGNUUAGAUACCCUGGUAGUCCACGCUGUAAACGAUGAAUGUUAAAUAUGGGAAGUUUACUUUCUGUAUUNCAGCUAACGCGUUAAACAUUCCGCCUGGGGACUUCGGUCGCAAGAUUAAAACUCAAAGGAAUUGACGGGGACCCGCACAAGCGGUGGAGCAUGUGGUUUAAUUCGAUGGCAACGCG
This 816-nucleotide ribosomal RNA is filed under the name Wolbachia endosymbiont of Lissorhoptrus oryzophilus. RNAcentral describes it as "bacterial SSU rRNA". It matches the Rfam family "Bacterial small subunit ribosomal RNA", at positions 111 to 963 of the family's 1533-position model. Lineage: Bacteria; Pseudomonadati; Pseudomonadota; Alphaproteobacteria; Rickettsiales; Anaplasmataceae. The record is from RNAcentral.